RNAcentral lists this ribosomal RNA (440 nucleotides) under uncultured bacterium. RNAcentral describes it as "partial 16S ribosomal RNA". It matches the Rfam family "Bacterial small subunit ribosomal RNA", at positions 338 to 795 of the family's 1533-position model. The record is from RNAcentral.
CCUACGGGGGGCAGCAGUGGGGAAUAUUGCACAAUGGGGGAAACCCUGAUGCAGCGACGUCGCGUGAGUGAUGAAGUAUUUCGGUAUGUAAAGCCCUAUUAGCAGGGAAGAAAAUGACGGUACCUGACUAAGAAGCCCCGGCUAACUACGUGCCAGCAGCCGCGGUAAUACGUAGGGGGCAAGCGUUAUCCGGAUUUACGGGGCGUAAAGGGGGCGUAGACGGCGGUGCAAGCUAGAUGUGAAAGCCCGGGGCUCAACCCCGGGACUGCAGUUGAAACUGUGCUGCUAGAGUGUCGGAGAGGCAGGCGGAAUUCGUGGUGUAGCGGUGAAAUGCGUAGAUAUUAGGAGGAACACCGAUGGCGAAGGCAGCCUGCUGGACGGUGACUGACGUUGAGGCUCGAAAGCGUGGGGAGCAAACAGGAUUAGAUACCCCUGUAGUC